GACGAACGCUGGCGGCGUGCUUAACACAUGCAAGUCGAACGGAAAGGCCUGCUUUCCCUUGUGGAUUGCGGGUACUCGAGUGGCGAACGGGUGAGUAACACGUGAGUGAUCUGCCCCCAACUUGGGUAUAAGACUGGGAAACUGGGUCUAAUUCCCGAUAGGACUGCAGGGUGGUGCCUGUGGUGGAAAACGAUUUUCUAGUGGUUGGGGAUGAGCUCGCGGCCUAUCAGCUUGUUGGUGGGGUAAUGGCCUGCCAAGGCGGCGACGGGUAGCCGGCCUGAGAGGGUGGACGGCCACAUUGGGACUGGGAUACGGCCCAGACUCCUACGGGAGGCAGCAGUGGGGAAUAAUGCACAGUGGGCGGAAGCCUGAUGCAGCGACGCCGCGUGGGGGAUGACGGGCUUCGGGUUGUAAACUCCUUUCGACCGCGAGGAAGCCACCUGGUUGGAAGGGUGGUGACGGUAGUGGGAGAAGAAGCACCGGCUAACUACGUG
RNAcentral lists this ribosomal RNA (494 nucleotides) under uncultured bacterium. Its description in RNAcentral is "partial 16S ribosomal RNA". It matches the Rfam family "Bacterial small subunit ribosomal RNA", at positions 28 to 507 of the family's 1533-position model. The record is from RNAcentral.